UGAAACUGCGAAUGGCUCAUUAAAUCAGUUAUAGUUUAUUUGAUAGUACAUUAUCACUUGGAUAACCGUGGUAAUUCUAGAGCUAAUACAUGCUAAAAAUCCCGACUUCUGGAAGGGAUGUAUUUAUUAGAUAAAAAACCAAUAGCUCCGUAA
This 153-nucleotide ribosomal RNA is filed under the name Acaulospora sp. aca1. Its description in RNAcentral is "partial 18S ribosomal RNA". It matches the Rfam family "Eukaryotic small subunit ribosomal RNA", at positions 82 to 236 of the family's 1831-position model. The record is from RNAcentral. Lineage: Eukaryota; Fungi; Glomeromycota; Glomeromycetes; Diversisporales; Acaulosporaceae.